UGCGUAGGCGGGCUGCCAAGUUUGGGGUGAAAUCCUCCGGCUCAACCGGGGAAGUGCCUUGAAUACUGGCGGUCUGGAGGGAGGUAGGGGCGUGCGGAACUGUAGGUGGAGCGGUGAAAUGCGUUGAUAUCUACAGGAACUCCGGUGGCGAAGGCGGCACGCUGGACCUUUUCUGACGCUGAGGCACGAAAGCCAGGGGAGCGAACG
This 207-nucleotide ribosomal RNA is filed under the name uncultured bacterium. RNAcentral's name for it is "partial 16S ribosomal RNA". It matches the Rfam family "Bacterial small subunit ribosomal RNA", at positions 568 to 774 of the family's 1533-position model. The record is from RNAcentral.